GACGAACGCUGGCGGCGUGCUUAACACAUGCAAGUCGAACGGACAGGUCCUGCUUUUGUGGGGUGCUCGAGUGGCGAACGGUUGCGUAACACGUGAGUACCCUGCCCUUGCCUUUGGGGUAACUUCAGGAAACUGGGGCUAAUACUGGCUAGGAGCUCCUGCUGUAUGGUGUGGGUUGGAAAGUUUCGGCGGUUGGGGAUGGACGCGCGGCUUAUUAGCUUGUUGGUGGGGUAGUGGCUUACCAAGGUUUCGACGGAUAGCCGGACUGAGAGGGUGACCGGCCACAGAGGGACUGAGAAACGACCCGGACUCAUACGGGAGGCAUCGGUGAGGAAUAUUGCACAAUGGGCGGAAGGCGGAUGCAGCAACUCCGCGUGCGGGAGGACGGCCGUCGGGGUGUAAACCGCGUUCGCCUGUAACGAAGCGUGAGUGACGGUAAUGGGUAAAAAAGCACCGGCUAACUACGUG
RNAcentral lists this ribosomal RNA (468 nucleotides) under uncultured bacterium. RNAcentral describes it as "partial 16S ribosomal RNA". It matches the Rfam family "Bacterial small subunit ribosomal RNA", at positions 28 to 507 of the family's 1533-position model. The record is from RNAcentral.